Molecule: long non-coding RNA, 1864 nt
Organism: Taeniopygia guttata (zebra finch)
Lineage: Eukaryota; Metazoa; Chordata; Aves; Passeriformes; Estrildidae
Source: RefSeq, a predicted model, not a curated record
AGGAGGCGGUACCGGGAGGUGGCUCCGCUCCGCCUCGCGGAGGCGGCCCCGGGGCGGGGCGGAGCGGGUGCGUUAACGCCCGGCCCGAGCGCCGCCGCCGGCCACGGGCUGGGCUGGGCUAGGCUGGGCUGGGCUUCACCGCGCUCGCAGCCGCUGCCCGUACGGAUUUUUAGGUGACUUCUUGCAGGAUUUUAGUGGGAACCUCCAAUUCUCACUGGCGAGCCCGCGUUUUCCGCGCCCUCAAGUUAUUAAAGAAGCUUUUCCGUCUUGAAGUUUGUACUUCAGGGCUCUGGAUCAUGUGAUGGCAUCAGGAUGCACAAGUCAGGAGGGCAAGGAAUGGGAGGUGCUCCCACUGCAAAGAUCCUCCUCACCUCUAGCCUGGCAUCGCUGAGGGCAGUACCACUACUCCCUUAGGGAAAGCUUUGGGAGAAGCAGCUCUAAGCUAGGUAAGUAUUGCUAGAGUACACUUCAAGGGUGUUUUUAGAAUGUAUCACAAGAAGUGACUGGUUGCCUUAAACAUUUCAGCCCUAAAGAGGAGCAGAGAAAAGCUAAUGUAACCGAACAUAACAAACGCCAACAAAAUUAAACAGCAAAGAGUCAGGUAGACUACUGCAUGUUUAUUGAUAUAACAGCAUUUUCUUUUUGAAAACCAACUGUUACUUAAGUUAAACCUGAUCAAAGUACAUCAGUCUUGGUGGAGUUUAAGACAAUUCACACAGGCGCUUUUGGUGAGGAGUCCAUAUUCCAGCUCUAGGGCAGGAACUCGAAGCCAUGGUCCCCACCUCUGCUCAGCUUAUCCUCGAGUGUUCACCUGCAGGGAGGACACAGAGUCAGGCAGAAGAAAUCACAGGAUAUAUCACAAUUCCUUCUUUGUUUAAAGAUCCUGGGCUUUUAGGGACUAAUUCCUUGCUUUAUGGUGCAGUAUUUAUAAUUCAUUUGCAGUUAUUAAAAAGCUGAAGGGUCUUAAGCAGCACAGAACUGAGAACACUCUACACAGUAACUGCAUUUUUCAAGCACAGCAAAUGAACGACAACAUGCUGAUGCUUGUGAAGGAGGGAAAACCCAAACCACAACACCAACACCACUCACCACAUCAUCAAUCUUGAGAAUGCUGCGCACGGUUUCUGUGGCGAGGGUCAGUGCACUCAAAGACACCAGCAGAGGCUGCACAACCAGCUCCUCCAGGAUGUUGGAAAUGCCACCCUAGGGGAACAAGGAACUUUCACUUUGUGCAAGACACACUACAGUCACAUGUAGCAGUUUUUCUUUUAGCAGAAUCCUGAGGGCAGUCAACUCCUGGACUAUCACAAGGCUUUCAACUGCAACAGGGGCAUUACAGCACACAUCUCUCCCCAAGCACUUGACAUAUCCAGUCAAAAUUAGCCAACAAUAAAGGUCAGCACUGCCAACUGAGAAAAAGCUGUGGUGCUACUCUCAACUCACGACCACCUUCCAUUGUAGAUCCUACCGAUGGAUCAUGCUAAAUGGAUCUUUUGUUGUAGCUGAAUCGCUUUUGUGGAGACAUGAAACAUUUCCUGUUGCAUGCAUCAAACUUUUAAUAUCUGCUAUUAUCAAUGCUCAGGGUGAGCUCCUGAGAGAACAAGCUGUAAUUUCCCUCUAAUUUUAGGGAGGCUACCAGCUUGCCCUCUCCUUAGUCCAACCCUAAGGAGGUUAAGCAUUUCCCCAGUAACACCCAGGUAUUACAACCCCUCAUUACCUUCCUGACAUUAAUGCCAGCUGUUUUCUCUCCUUGGGCAUGUCUGUUUCUGAGCUCUGUCACCGUGGAGAUGGGAUUGAGCCCUGCAUUCUCAGCCAGGGUGGAGGGAAUGACCUCAAGCGCGUCCCCAUAGGCACGGACACAGUA